CUCGGGUCUCCGUGGCGCGGCACCCGGCACCUCCCGGCUGCAGCGGCGGGGCGCGCGCCGCCGUCCAGGGCUCUGGACUGCAGGCUGCAGCGAGACGCCGCGGCUCGGCCUCCAGUCAAGUCCCCUCCGCGCGCUGGCACCGAGGCAGAGCACCUCCGUCCCCGAGGCCAAGCACAAGUCCGGAGAGCAGGAGAACUGGCCAGGCUGGCCCAGUAACACGUCCCCACUGGGCGCGGCGGCAGCGGGCCGGGAGGGAACACCCGGGGCUCCAAUUCCCAGCCGGAUCGACCCAGGCUUUUCCUGAGCGAGCCAAGCCCAGGCUGCCAAGGGAGGCCCCGCUCGGGGAGCGCGCGUUUGCAGGCACCGCGCUUCCCUGCCAGCCAGCGCUGGGCUGCCACCCGACGCCAACUUUCCCCUCGGGCUCUGGAAGGAAGGACGCACGCUGCGUGCAGCCAGAGCGCCGCGAUUCCCGCCCCAAGCAAAAGGCGUCGCCCAUGUCUCCCCAAAAGCACCACAACCAAACUAGCAGCCAGGUCUCCCCAUGCCCUUCCGCGGCCCACCCGGAAAGUGGCGAGCGAGGGCGCAGAUGCCCUCGGUCGGGUCCUCGGUCUGCACCGAGACGUCGCCAAACGAACCUGCAGCCGGCGGAAGCCUGGGGGCUAGUGCAAACGCGCUGCCCGCCGCCUCCGCUGGGCCGGCGCGAGGGCGAGGGCGAGGGCGAGCGAAGCUCCCGGGUGCGCGAGGAGGCAAACCGCUAGCCGGCCGGCCGCCGGGCUCUGGCCGGGACGGCGAGGGGGCGGCGAGGGGGUGGGAGCGACCCGCCUGGGCCCUGGCGCGGCCCCUCCGUCAGCUCCGGGGCGCUUUCUCCGUCCCAGGACGAUUCCUUAUUCCCCAGCCGCUCCGCAUCCUCACUUCGGACCCACAGCCACUCCUAAAUUCCGUCACCUUUGCUUACCACCGCCGUUCCCAACGCGCCCUCCUACUGGCAUAGCAGGUGACCUGAAACCAGCCUUACCUGCCGCCAACUCCUCACUCCCGCUCUCUCAGCCUGCUGUCCCUUCAGGGACAGAGGAAGGGGAUGCGGGCUGGGGGCGUGGGAGCUGCGAGGAGGCGCAGUCCAAGAGGAAGGGCGCCUUUGAAGUUUGUUGAGCGACCACAGCAGCUGUCCGGGGAGAGACUGAGUCUUUCUCAAAAGGGGCUGCUGCAACCGCCAGGGAUUACCUCUCCCCUUCCGGUCUCCUCCCUCAGCCCUCGCCCCCGCCGGCGCGCGCCAGCCCUCCUGGGCAUGCUGCUAGAAGGCCAUCCCUGCUGGCGGGGCCACAGCGCAGAUCCCAGACAGCUCCGGGCGCUCCUAGGGGUCUUCCUCCGGGUAGGGCACUCUGUCUGUAAAGAGUCCUCUGCUGUUUGAGCCUGCGCCCGGAUAACUUAGGACCUGUUUAUUCGAUACCAUAAAGUCUCUAAGGAGCUGCGGAAAAAAACGGGACACUGUCCUACGAAUUUUAAGGUACUUGGUGGCAGAGCCAGCCUCAGGAGGGACUCAAGUUUUCUAACUCUGACCGAGGUCUUUUCCUGUAUCUCAUGCUGCCCCAUCUCUGUGACUUUGGUUUUGACUGUCAACCAACCAAACUCAUAAUUUUCCUCUUUGGAUACAAGAAAAUUGAAGUCCCUAUAGAUUAUUCGAACCUAUAGCAACUUUUUUUCCUCAAUGCUUCAUAGUUAAUGUUCUACCACUCCUUUUUUAAUUAACCAUAUCCUUGGUGUGCUUAUUGCAUUUUUGUGUAUUUUUAUAUCCUUUUUUAUUUGUUUAUGCCAUUGCCUCUCAAUCCAAACUGCAAGCUCAGUGUGAGGACAAAAUACCUCCUUUGUCUCCCACAGCGUAGUUUAGCUUUUUGCAUAUGGUGUGUACACAAUGAGUAGUUUUUGAUCCUUAAAAACUCUCUAUUUAUGAAUUUUCUAAUAAUUCUGUCACUUCGUUGACCAGAAUAUUGUGUUUAAGUAGAAUCGUGGUUAACUCUGGAUUUCCCCUUUUUCCUUCCUGUCUAAAUUCUAGGUUAAUAUACGCAAACCAAAUGAUAUCUCCCUCUGCUUAUUUCAACCUUUUCUACAAAACCCCUACAGAAUUCAUCACACCCUCCUGUUUUCCCAAAGAAGUUUGAUUUCACUAUUCGAAGGCCUUUUCAUGUUAGAUCAUAGUUAGUUAUGCAAGCCAAGUGUGUUGGCUGUUUUGUGUCUGUGUUUUCUCAGCCCCUAAAACAAU
Equus asinus (donkey) is the source of this 2257-nucleotide long non-coding RNA. The record is from Ensembl. Lineage: Eukaryota; Metazoa; Chordata; Mammalia; Perissodactyla; Equidae.